CCUACGGGAGGCUGCAGUGGGGAAUAUUGCACAAUGGGGGAAACCCUGAUGCAGCGACGCCGCGUGAGUGAAGAAGUAAUUCGUUAUGUAAAGCUCUAUCAGCAGGGAAGAAAAUGACGGUACCUGAGUAAGAAGCCCCGGCUAACUACGUGCCAGCAGCCGCGGUAAUACGUAGGGGGCAAGCGUUAUCCGGAUUUACUGGGUGGAAAGGGAGCGUAGACGGCAGUGCAAGUCUGGAGUGAAAGGCGGGGGCUCAAACCCCGGACUGCUCUGGAAACUGUACGGCUGGAGUGCAGGAGAGGUAAGUGGAAUUCCUAGUGUAGCGGUGAAAUGCGUAGAUAUUAGGAGGAACACCAGUGGCGAAGGCGGCUUACUGGACUGUAACUGACGUUGAGGCUCGAAAGCGUGGGGAGCAAACAGGAUUAGAUACCCCUGUAGUC
RNAcentral lists this ribosomal RNA (440 nucleotides) under uncultured bacterium. RNAcentral's name for it is "partial 16S ribosomal RNA". It matches the Rfam family "Bacterial small subunit ribosomal RNA", at positions 338 to 795 of the family's 1533-position model. The record is from RNAcentral.